GACGGAAUGACAACAGCAUCUGUACCUACUAUGCCAGGCCGUCUGUACCUACUAUGCUCAUCUGUUGUUAAAGCCAGUAUCCAGAGGUUUGUUACAGCAACACAAAGUGGACUGAGACAGGAGUUGGAGGAGACAUCGAGGCAGAAGAAAUGUGAAAGGUUAGAAGAAGGAAGGUCAGAGGUGCUUGAGGCUUCGUGAGAGCUUACGUGACGAUAAUGUCUGUAUUGUCUAAGGCCAAACCUCCCCAUCUCCACAUCAAUGAAAACGUUUUAAGAAGAAAAACCAUCCUAGCCAGCAGGUUUCUGAAGGCUGCAUGGAUCCCACAGGAUGGCUGUUCUGGGAGGAUGUUCUGGACCCUCUAGGAAGUCACAGGUUCCUGGCCUGAGAACCUGGGAAGACAAGAUUCUGGUAUAAAUUCUGGAGUCCAAAGCCUAAACAGUCCGAAGUCCUGGUUUCCAAGAGCACAAGAAAAGGGCUGUUGCUCUCAGAAAGACAAGGUGAGUGAGUCAUGGCUCAUGUGUGGAAGUCAGAGGACAGCUCAGAGCAGCCAGCUCUCUCCUUCGAUCACGCAGCCUCUGGAGAUCAAACCCAGCCCACCAGGCUUGGUGGCACAUGCCUUCAACUGUUGAGUCAUCUUGCUGGCUCCAAUAAAGGUUGAUUUUUUUUUAAGUCAGUAGGCAGACAACAUAUAAAUCAAAUUGGAUACCAAGUCAAACCAAUAUCCACAAAACGCCAUGUCAGGAUGGCAUGUUAUUCAUUUUAGGAAACACCAAGAAUUUUAGCGAUAUUGACUGAAUUGAAAUAAAAAGUCUCCUGAACCCUGUAAGAACUUACCAUCUCUCCGGCAUCAUUUCCUAAACGUACCACACUUACGUUCUGUGUCAUGGCCAUGACAAAGACUCCCUUGUCACCCACUGUCCUUAAUCUUCCUCCCUUAGAAUGCUUUUAGCUGAGGACCUCUGAAGUCAGCCUUCUCUGUGUUUUGUUUUUAAGUGUUAUUUCUUCAAAGGAGCCCAGUGCCAGGAACGGGUCACCUCUGUUGGAGCUGUUGGCCAGUGAAAUCCCACAAGUCUGCCUUCAAACAAAAGACCAAGAAGCUAUGUGUUGGGUUAGCCUCAAGAACUUGACAAUACGAUCUGAUUACUGAAGACUCCACAUAAGACCAAUGAGAAAUCAAGCUGAUACCCACAGAGUCCAUCCCUACCUAAGGAGCUCUUGACAACUGAUAACUUCUUGGGGGCGGGGAGGGUGGGGAGUUGGUUGACUUGCAAUCAUGCUCUGUUGGGUGCCCUGAACCCAAGUGCACAUGGGCAGAACACUGCAUUUGCUUUUUUUGUUUUUUUUUUUUUAAGACAUAAAGUUGGGUGCUUAGGGAACAGGGUAGAUAUGGUAGGAGCUGGGAGUAGAUAUCAAUAUGAUAAAAAUAUCCUACAAAAUUCUCAAAGAACUAAUAAAAACUGGGGGCGGGGAAGAAAGGUCUUCUAGACACUCCCCAGUUGUCAGCUUCCUAUCCACCUCCUCAUAUCACCCGGCUGUUUGCUUUGCCCCAUUUGUAACUAAGCUCUAUCUUUCCUGUGUGUAGACUGACAUCUCUGCACACAUGCAAGAUCUUUUACCCUGUAGGUGUCCAGUUCAUCCUGCUACAUGGGUGAGGAAGUACAGAGAUGAACCCAAGUCUCUGGAACAGGCACCCUGUCUCUCACUGGGCUCGACACCUGGUUUUCUGCUGCAACUCAUCCCACCCAAACCAGCCGCACUUCCCAGCCACACAAAGCACCACCCCACACUGAGGACAGCAGAGGGAGUCAUGCAGAUAGUGAGGAGGCAGCUUUUCCUCCUUAUCCAAUAGGGAAAAAAAAAAUCCUCAAGAGUGACCUCAACGCCUGCUACAAAUUAGUUGCCAAAAAAAUAUUUGCUUAACUCUUGAACUGUGUGCUUGGGAAAUAAAAGGGAAUUUAUUCUUGCUUUGUAACCAGACCCUUGAGAAAUACCCGCUGUACUUCCCCAGCUCCCUUGAGAAUUACCUGGACACCCUAUGCCCUGCCCUUUCUUAUCCCUUCUAUUAAAUGAGAUAUUUGUGUUUUAAAUGAAGACCAUUGUUGGCCCAUCAUCGGUGGGAAAGCAUCACUGUGCACACAUUCCUCCUGUAAUAAAAAAAAAUAAAUCCCUUAAGCCUA
Molecule: small RNA, 2177 nt
Filed under: Rattus norvegicus (Norway rat)
Lineage: Eukaryota; Metazoa; Chordata; Mammalia; Rodentia; Muridae
Description: uncharacterized LOC103694025
Source: RNAcentral